Molecule: unclassified non-coding RNA, 234 nt
Filed under: plant metagenome
Description: partial contains small subunit ribosomal RNA, internal transcribed spacer 1, and 5.8S ribosomal RNA
Source: RNAcentral
UUUCCGUAGGUGAACCUGCGGAAGGAUCAUUACUGAGUGAGGGCCCUCUGGGUCCAACCUCCCACCCGUGUUUAUUGUACCUUGUUGCUUUGGUGAGCCCGCCUCACGGCCGCCGGGGGGCAUCUGCCCCCGGGCCCGCGCUCGCCGGAGACACCCUUGAACUCUGUCUGAAGUUUGCAGACUGAGCGAAAACUAAAUAAGUUAAAACUUUCAACAACGGAUCUCUUGGUUCCG